Molecule: ribosomal RNA, 253 nt
Filed under: uncultured bacterium
Lineage: Bacteria
Description: partial 16S ribosomal RNA
Rfam family: Bacterial small subunit ribosomal RNA
Source: RNAcentral
UACGUAGGGUGCAAGCGUUAAUCGGAAUUACUGGGCGUAAAGCGUGCGCAGGCGGUUUUGUAAGCCAGAUGUGAAAUCCCCGGGCUUAACCUGGGAACUGCAUUUGGGACUGCAAGGCUUGAGUGCGGCAGAGGAGACUGGAAUUCCGCGUGUAGCAGUGAAAUGCGUAGAUAUGCGGAGGAACACCGGUGGCGAAGGCGGCGACCUGGGUCGAUACUGACGCUGAGGCGCGAAAGCGUGGGGAGCAAACAGG